Molecule: ribosomal RNA, 479 nt
Filed under: uncultured bacterium
Lineage: Bacteria
Description: partial 16S ribosomal RNA
Rfam family: Bacterial small subunit ribosomal RNA
Source: RNAcentral
GAUGAACGCUAGCGGGAGGCCUAACACAUGCAAGCCGAGCGGUAGAGAUUCUUCGGAAUCUUGAGAGCGGCGUACGGGUGCGGAACACGUGUGCAACCUGCCUUUAUCAGGGGGAUAGCCUUUCGAAAGGAAGAUUAAUACCCCAUAAUAUAUUUGAUGGCAUCAUUAGAUAUUGAAAGCUUUGGCGGAUAGAGAUGGGCACGCGCAAGAUUAGAUAGUUGGUGAGGUAACGGCUCACCAAGUCGAUGAUCUUUAGGGGGCCUGAGAGGGUGAUCCCCCACACUGGUACUGAGACGCGGACCAGACUCCUACGGGAGGCAGCAGUGAGGAAUAUUGGACAAUGGGUUAGCGCCUGAUCCAGCCAUCCCGCGUGAAGGACGACGGCCCUAUGGGUUGUAAACUUCUUUUGUACAGGGAUAAACCUACUCUCGUGAGAGUAGCUGAAGGUACUGUACGAAUAAGCACCGGCUAACUCCGUG